UUUAAAACCUCCUGUCCCCCCCAGGCGCCACGGCGGACCUCUCUGCAAUGUCACCUCACCUCCAUCCUCACUGUCUUAACCUGGGCCACCUUCCUAGCCUGGCCUCGGCCACGGCAGGAUGCGGGCGUCUCCAGCUGGCCCCUCCUCCUCCUGUUCCCCAGCCACCUCCCAGCCUCCCGAGCGUGCCACCACCUGAGCCAUCGCUGAAAACAAUGCUGAUCGCAGCCUUUCUCAGCCUAAACCAUCUGCCGGCUCCCAAUUUCCUGGAGCUAGAAUCCUUAGGGGUCACCCAAGGCUCUCCUGGGCUGGCCCAGUCCACCCUCUGUCCCCUUCCUGCGCACCCCACCCAUGCUAGGCGUCUCCCCAAGACGCAGUGCCCGUUUAACCCGGCUGUGACUGGUGUGUCAGAGCGUUCCCUCUGCCUGGUGUGUCCUUCCCCAGCUCUGCCCGUCCAAACCCCAUCCGUCCUUCCCUCUGAGAGACCCUCACGCUUACACCCGCACAGAGGCCACGAUCGGGUCCUGACCUGCGGGCGUGUCUACCUCACCCCUGUGGGAUGUGGGGGUUCCUUGUGGGCGGGAACAGCGACUUACUCGUUCUCCCGUCCCUUCUCAACACCCAACAGGGGGUCCAGCACAGAGCGUGCACUCAACACUCGUGUACAUGGGAUUCAAGGUGACUCUGGGUCUAGAGUCACAGAAUCUCGUGUUGAGCUAAUCUUAAGAGACUUCCCUGCCUCCCUCCCCACCAGCUGACUCUGAAGGCCAGUGACCACAGCCUCCAGGCCGGCCAAGCAGGCCCUUGGAGCCCCUCCAGGGAAGGACAACUUGAAGCUGUCCUGGCUGUUAGACGCGUCUAACAUCUCUGAUCUGCUCCAGCCUCUGGGUCCCUAUAGCUCCACUCCCCGGCCCUCGUCUUUGCCAUCUGGGGCCCUGGAGAACAGGCCCAUCUCUUUUCCCCAGGACAGUCCUUCCAAGGACUGACCACAGCCAUCCCGUGGCCCCGAGCGUCCUCAGAUCCAGGCGAGACCUUCUCAGUGUCUUUCCCUUUCCUUAUAGCGCAGGCUGCAAUGCCCCUCCCACUGCCUCGGCCACCCUUCUGCAACCACGUCUCAGGCUGUCAUCGUCCCUCUUAAGAACGGAGCUCUGAAUGGGGCCUCACACCAGACGUGGCUGAUGGCACCGAGUACAGAAGGACUGGAACCUCGCAAACUUGGGCCAUCCUUUGCUAGCCUGCCCUGUCCUCCAGGCCUGGAAAUCUCUGGGUUCCUGGCAUCUCCGAGCUCCCGUUCCUUUGAAACUUAUGCAAAGGUCUUUUUUGACUGGGUGGGGCCCCAGACGUGUGGCGGGUCCUACUCUGCGACCUCCUCAGGGAGCUGGGUCUCGUAGGAGCAAGGAAACAGAGCACGCGUGUGGGUAUUUGGAAAUGGAAUUCUCCAGUGUGGAUGGACCCAGCUGUGGGAUGAAUCCAUUCUCAGCAUGCACGGAGGGCCCUGGGGCCGGGGGAUGAGCAGCCAGGCUCAGUCCCGGGAGCACCCAGUCUAGAUGGGAAAGACCAGGAGAUGCCCGCAUCUGAGUGGGUGAGGCCCAGGCUAACCAGCCCGUCAUCUCAUCUGAGCCAGGAGCCGCCCGAGAUCCUACCCUCCUCACCCUGGGCUGCCCCUCUGAGGGACCACAGGUUUGCCACAGACAGCCCUGAACGUCACUUCAUACAAGCUCUUCUACGACAAGGGUUGAC
This 1737-nucleotide long non-coding RNA is filed under the name Equus asinus (donkey). RNAcentral describes it as "lncRNA (ENSEASG00005027674.1)". Lineage: Eukaryota; Metazoa; Chordata; Mammalia; Perissodactyla; Equidae. The record is from RNAcentral.